CAGUGACGAUUUAAGUCAAGUGGCAUGAAGAUCUAACUUCACUUGACAGAAGAUAGCAUUACGCUUACAAUACAUUUUUUUUAUAAAUGUUAGUGUAGAUUUGUAUUUAUUUCCAGAAAGCCUUUGAGGCCAUAUCAAGUUUGUAGUCAAGUACCCGUCUUCUCAAAUCUCAGUGAUACAAGUCUUAGAUAAACAAGACUCCUCUGUUUCCUUGUGACGGGUCCCCCACUCCUGAAAAACCUGUGUGGUGAGCUGGAAGCUGAGAAGUCACUGCAGAGUGAUAUUAGAGGUGAUCCAAGUAGGUCUUUCACAGAAAUCAAAUUUCCUACACAAACAAUUAGUCUCAUUAUAAACAAUUUUUGAUUGUUUUUUUGUUUUGUUUUUUAAAUGUAUGUCUAUAGUCUGUUCCCUCUACACAUUAUACUUUAUCUUGCCAACUGAUACAGAUUUAAAUUUGAUGUAGUUACUAACCAGCAUUACUAUUUAAAUCACAGUCAUCUUUGACAGACACAAUUGUUUCAAAUUCUCUUUUAAUACGUUCUAUAGAAAGGUGACUGUUGUGUGGACUGAUGCAACAGCUCUGGUUUUCAUUAUUAGCCUCCACAUUCCCAGACACGGAAUGACCUAAUAGGGCUAAAUUGGGUGUAAGACAUUUGGGGGUUUCCUAACAAAAGCAGGGAAUGUGUAGAUAGUCUGGUGUGACACUGAUCUGGGAAGCUGGUCUUGAAUUUCCAUAAAACAGAAAAGCAGUGCUUUGUGGAUCAUGGGAAGCCAGUAAAUGUGUGCAUGCUGACUUCACAUAAAUGCAGUAAAAACAUCUGUUCAUGAAAAGAGUCUGUUUGAAUCUUAAAAGAAUACGUAUAAAAUGGUCUGAAAAUUCUGAUUCAGUAUUAGAAAUUAGUUAAUUAGACGGACUGUGCAUGUAGGACGUUUCGGGGACAAAGUGAGAGAGGCCCAAUUGAGAUGGUUUGGACAUGUGCAGAAGAGGGACAUAGGUUAUAUCGGUAGGAGAAUG
Long non-coding RNA from Silurus meridionalis, 1015 nucleotides. RefSeq lists it as uncharacterized. The record is from RefSeq and is a predicted model, not a curated record. The transcript has 3 exons. Lineage: Eukaryota; Metazoa; Chordata; Actinopteri; Siluriformes; Siluridae.